AGCGAACGUUUGCGGCGGGCUUAACACAUGCAAGUCGAACGAGAAUCCCUUCGGGGAGGAAAGUGGCGCACGGGUGCGUAACACGUGGAUAACCAACCCAUUGGUUUGGGACAACACCGGGAAACUGGUGCUAAUACCAGAUGUGUCGCAGCUGUCUUCAGGCGGUGGCGAGAAAGGCCCGCAAGGGUCGCCAACGGACGGGUCCGCGUCCCAUCAGCUAGUUGGUGAGGUAAUGGCUCGCCAAGGCAAAGACGGGUAGCUGGUCUGAGAGGAUGAUCAGCCACACUGGAACUGAGACACGGUCCAGACUCCUACGGGAGGCAGCAGUGGGGAAUAUUGCGCAAUGGGCGAAAGCCUGACGCAGCCACGCCGCGUGAGCGAUGAAGGUCUUCGGAUCGUAAAGCUCUGUGGGGGGAGAAGAAGAAAGCCGGUGAAGAGCCGGCCCUGACGGUAUCCCCUUAGCAAGCACCGGCUAACUCCGUGCCAGCAGCCGCGGU
RNAcentral lists this ribosomal RNA (497 nucleotides) under uncultured bacterium. Its description in RNAcentral is "bacterial SSU rRNA". It matches the Rfam family "Bacterial small subunit ribosomal RNA", at positions 29 to 521 of the family's 1533-position model. The record is from RNAcentral.